UAUGUUUUUAGGAGAAUUUUUAAAAGAGACAAGUAAUUACAGCUUCUAGAUAUCUGAUAAAAGUACAUUUUCCUAUUAUUUUUUUUGUUUUUUUCUUUUUUCAUUUUUCAUUUUUCAUUUUCGGCCUAACCGAUUUUUGGCCUGAAAUUUAAUAUUUGGGAUUAUCUUCAACAAUUCAUUUACAUGUAAAGUGGUUGUUUGAGCAUGUUUUAAUGUGAAUUUUUUUUUAAAAGCUUUAUUUUUUAAAAUUAAAAUAUAUUAAAAAUUAGAGUUGUAUUUAGCGAUUAAUAACAAAUUAGAAUUAUUUUUUUGACAGUUUUUGAGUAUUUUAAAG
RNAcentral lists this long non-coding RNA (334 nucleotides) under Solanum tuberosum (potato). RNAcentral describes it as "long non-coding RNA (STUB_LNC006258)". Lineage: Eukaryota; Viridiplantae; Streptophyta; Magnoliopsida; Solanales; Solanaceae. The record is from RNAcentral.